RNAcentral lists this ribosomal RNA (434 nucleotides) under uncultured bacterium. RNAcentral's name for it is "partial 16S ribosomal RNA". It matches the Rfam family "Bacterial small subunit ribosomal RNA", at positions 29 to 507 of the family's 1533-position model. The record is from RNAcentral.
AGCGAACGCUGGCGGCAGGCCUAACACAUGCAAGUCGAACGAACCUUUCGGGGUUAGUGGCGGACGGGUGAGUAACACGUGGGAACGUGCCUUUAGGUUCGGAAUAACUCAGGGAAACUUGUGCUAAUACCGAAUGUGCCCUUCGGGGGAAAGAUUUAUCGCCGUUAGAGCGGCCCGCGUUUGAUUAGCUAGUUGGUUGAGGUAAUGGCUCACCAAGGCGACGAUCAGUAGCUGGUCUGAGAGGAUGAUCAGCCACAUUGGGACUGAGACACGGCCCAAACUCCUACGGGAGGCAGCAGUGGGGAAUCUUGCGCAAUGGGCGAAAGCCUGACGCAGCCAUGCCGCGUGAAUGAUGAAGGUCUUAGGAUUGUAAAAUUCUUUCACCGGGGACGAUAAUGACGGUACCCGGAGAAGAAGCCCCGGCUAACUUCGUG